GAAUCAACGCUGGCGGCGUGCCUCAGACAUGCAAGUCGAACGCGAAACCUUCCUUCGGGAGGGGAGUAGAGUGGCGCACGGGUGAGUAACACGUAGGUAAUCUACCUUUGGGUGGGGAAUAACAGCCGGAAACGGCUGCUAAUACCGCAUAAUGCAGCGGCUCGACAUCGAGACAGUUGUUAAAGCGGGGGAUCGUAAGACCUCGCGCCUAAGAGGAGCCUGCGGCAGAUAGCUAGUUGGUAAGGUAACGGCUUACCAAGGCGACGAUCUGUAGCGGCCUGAGAGGGCGGUCGGCCACACUGACACUGACAUACGGGUCAGACUCCUACGGGAGGCAGCAGUCGGGAAUUUUGGGC
This 356-nucleotide ribosomal RNA is filed under the name uncultured bacterium. RNAcentral's name for it is "bacterial SSU rRNA". It matches the Rfam family "Bacterial small subunit ribosomal RNA", at positions 27 to 369 of the family's 1533-position model. The record is from RNAcentral.